Molecule: ribosomal RNA, 515 nt
Filed under: uncultured bacterium
Lineage: Bacteria
Description: bacterial SSU rRNA
Rfam family: Bacterial small subunit ribosomal RNA
Source: RNAcentral
GACGAACGCUGGCGGCGUGCCUAAUACAUGCAAGUCGAGCGGACCAAAGGGAGCUUGCUCCUGGAGGUCAGCGGCGAACGGGUGAGUAACACGUGGGCAACCUGCCUGUAAGACUGGGAUAACAUCGAGAAAUCGGUGCUAAUACCGGAUAAUAAAAAGAACUGCAUGGUUCUUUUUUGAAAGAUGGUUUCGGCUAUCACUUACAGAUGGGCCCGCGGCGCAUUAGCUAGUUGGUGAGGUAACGGCUCACCAAGGCAACGAUGCGUAGCCGACCUGAGAGGGUGAUCGGCCACACUGGGACUGAGACACGGCCCAGACUCCUACGGGAGGCAGCAGUAGGGAAUCUUCCGCAAUGGACGAAAGUCUGACGGAGCAACGCCGCGUGAGUGAUGAAGGUUUUCGGAUCGUAAAACUCUGUUGUUAGGGAAGAACAAGUGCCGUUCGAAAGGGCGGCACCUUGACGGUACCUAACGAGAAAGCCACGGCUAACUACGUAGCCAGCAGCCGCGGUAAAG